This 1029-nucleotide long non-coding RNA is filed under the name Gossypium raimondii (Peruvian cotton). RNAcentral's name for it is "long non-coding RNA (GRAI_LNC006999)". The record is from RNAcentral. Lineage: Eukaryota; Viridiplantae; Streptophyta; Magnoliopsida; Malvales; Malvaceae.
CCACAAUCAACAAACCCUUGUUGUCCAGUAUGUUCCUGUAGUAGUUGUUGUCCAAAACCAUGGGUGUCCCACGAUCGUUUCUCACAUACUGGACGGCCUUGGGGUCUGGGAUUUGAUCAGGGCAUUUAUGGAGCAUGUGUGGAACAUGGUCGGGGCUGAGGGCAGGGUCAACCUCUGGGUACAACCGAUGCACCAGCUUCACACAGUGAGUUCUGCCGACACUGUGAGCUCCUGUUUUGCACAAAAUAGGAAACUUAGAGCCAAAAAGAUGCUAGAAAUAUAAUCUCCAUAAUGUUCACUCACACAGUCGGUCACUUGCAUUUACUGAUACUUAUGUAAAGAUGGAAAAGGAGUACCUAGGAGGGCAACGACUCCAGGGGUGUCAAUACCCAUGGCGGCAAACCUGUCGAGAACGCCAGAGAUGGUCUCAUUGUGGUCCGGAAGAUACUCCUCCACAACAUCUGCUCUGCUCCUUCUACCGUCUCUUCUUCCAGUUUUGAGAGGAAUGUAAGGGCCUCCCAACUGAAACAAGUGAAUUUGGGGUUACUUUUACUUGACUGACAAGCUAAGCUAAACUUAGUAAUUCACACAAUUAAGAUAUGCAUCCAGGAAUUUUAAGUAUUUAUUACAGUUAAAAUAGGAUCUAAGCACAUGAAACUGAAGUUGAAACCUCAAAGGACUGGGAAAGCAAAGGUUAGUAGUAGAUUAAGCAAACGAAACCUCCACUAAUCUUACUGAUCUAGUGCAAAAGGAACUCUCAAGUAAGCACAUAGAAAUUGUAGUUUUAAUUAAAUUUGAAUGGAGGAAGAGUAAUCUAAAGGGGUGGAAAGAAAUUUUUACCGAAACGAUGCCUUCUCUAGCAGACAGAACAAGGAUAUCAGCACAAGAAACAACUCCAGGACAUUCCCUUUCUACAGCUUCUUUGAUGGUCUCAAUGUACCUGAAAUUCCUUAGGCCAAAGCUCCUGUCUGUCUCCUUCUCAGACAAGCUCCUUCUUGUGGAGUCCAGCAGCAGUGAAGCAUCACAUGA